Molecule: unclassified non-coding RNA, 22 nt
Filed under: Chlamydomonas reinhardtii
Lineage: Eukaryota; Viridiplantae; Chlorophyta; Chlorophyceae; Chlamydomonadales; Chlamydomonadaceae
Description: small RNA Cre_3141
Source: RNAcentral
UGCGUGGCGUGGGAUCCGCAGG